GAUCUACCUUGGCAUCUGGCAAGCCUGGAGCAGGCCAUUUACCUAGCCCUGCCCACCUGGAUAAACACAGCGUUGCUAUGCAACAUCAUGGAGUUGCUGUGGACUCAUCCCCUACUCCAUGUGAUGUCAUAUCUGCUCCUCCCCUUCACCGCGCUACUCAGCUUCCUGAUUGAAAAUACACACAGGAUGGGAGUUUUAGGGUUCUGGCUGUGGCAGGAUCUACGCCAGAUAACUCUCUAUUUAAUGAACAUCCUGGUCUCCAGCCUCCGCAGAAACCUACAGAACAGACUACAUCACAAUCUUACUCCGCUUGGAUCUGGAGCGAGAGAAGGAGGGAGAGGAGGAGGCAGAGACGACCCCCACCAUACCUCUCUAUCCUGG
Long non-coding RNA from Oncorhynchus tshawytscha (Chinook salmon), 381 nucleotides. Lineage: Eukaryota; Metazoa; Chordata; Actinopteri; Salmoniformes; Salmonidae. The record is from Ensembl.